CCUACGGGCGGCAGCAGUCGAGAAUCAUUCACAAUGGGGGAAACCCUGAUGGUGCGACGCCGCGUGGGGGAAUGAAGGUCUUCGGAUUGUAAACCCCUGUCAUGUGGGCGCAAAUUAAAAAGAUAGUACCACAAGAGGAAGAGACGGCUAACUCUGUGCCAGCAGCCGCGGUAAUACAGAGGUCUCAAGCGUUGUUCGGAAUCACUGGGCGUAAAGCGUGCGUAGGCUGUUUCGUAAGUCGUGUGUGAAAGGCGCGGGCUCAACCCGCGGACGGCACAUGAUACUGCGAGACUAGAGUAAGGGAGGGGGAACCGGAAUUCUCGGUGUAGCAGUGAAAUGCGUAGAUAUCGAGAGGAACACUCGUGGCGAAGGCGGGUUCCUGGACAUUAACUGACGCUGAGGCACGAAGGCCAGGGGAGCGAAAGGGAUUAGAUACCCUUGUAGUC
Molecule: ribosomal RNA, 446 nt
Filed under: uncultured bacterium
Lineage: Bacteria
Description: partial 16S ribosomal RNA
Rfam family: Bacterial small subunit ribosomal RNA
Source: RNAcentral